Molecule: transfer RNA, 85 nt
Filed under: Felis catus (domestic cat)
Lineage: Eukaryota; Metazoa; Chordata; Mammalia; Carnivora; Felidae
Rfam family: tRNA
About the family: Transfer RNA (tRNA) molecules are approximately 80 nucleotides in length. Their secondary structure includes four short double-helical elements and three loops (D, anti-codon, and T loops).
Source: Rfam by way of RNAcentral
GCCUGGCUGGCUCAGUCGGUUAAGUGUCUGACUUCGGCUCAGGUCACGAUCUCACGGUUUGUGAGUUCGAGCCCCACGUCAGGCU